UACGGGGGGGGCAAGCGUUGUUCGGAAUUACUGGGCGUAAAGGGCUCGUAGGCGGCCAACUAAGUCCGACGUGAAAUCCCCAGGCUUAACCUGGGAACUGCGUCGGAUACUGGUUGGCUUGAAUCCGGGAGAGGGGUGCGGAAUUCCAGGUGUAGCGGUGAAAUGCGUAGAUAUCUGGAGGAACACCGGUGGCGAAGGCGGCAUCCUGGACCGGCAUUGACGCUGAACAGCGAAAGCCAGGGGAGCAAACGGG
Molecule: ribosomal RNA, 253 nt
Filed under: uncultured bacterium
Lineage: Bacteria
Description: partial 16S ribosomal RNA
Rfam family: Bacterial small subunit ribosomal RNA
Source: RNAcentral